RNAcentral lists this ribosomal RNA (306 nucleotides) under Triticum aestivum (bread wheat). RNAcentral describes it as "partial small subunit ribosomal RNA". Lineage: Eukaryota; Viridiplantae; Streptophyta; Magnoliopsida; Poales; Poaceae. The record is from RNAcentral.
AUGAAUUGCCUAAGCUAGAACUGCCGGGGGCUUGGGAACCCCGAGGCAGUUCGUGAGCUUCGCAGUGUUGUGAAGCAAGAAGGGCCCACUCUAGUUUCUGUCACGGAAACAAAGAUUAGAGGGAAACGUGUAGAGAGAUUGCAAUAGACCUUGGGGGUUGCGGGUUGUUUUGUUGUUGACAGCGAUGGAUUAAGUGGAGGCAUUGGACUCUUCUUGUCCAAAGAUGUUACAGUAGAGCUCAAGAACUACAGCCCGGCCCACAUUGAUGUAGUGGUGCGCGAUGCUUUGGACACUUCGGUGAACUAG